UGAGCUGCUUCUUCCUCCAAGUCUAAGU
This 28-nucleotide unclassified non-coding RNA is filed under the name Mus musculus (house mouse). Its description in RNAcentral is "oocyte_clustered_small_RNA3539". Lineage: Eukaryota; Metazoa; Chordata; Mammalia; Rodentia; Muridae. The record is from RNAcentral.